GCACCUACGGGGGGCAGCAGUGGGGAAUAUUGCACAAUGGGCGAAAGCCUGAUGCAGCAACGCCGCGUGAAGGAAGGAGGGCUUCGGCUCGUAAACUUCUAUUAACAGGGACGAAAGAAAUGACGGUACCUGAAUAAGAAGCCCCGGCUAACUACGUGCCAGCAGCCGCGGUAAUAAGUAGGUGGCAAGCGUUGUCCGGAUUUACUGGGUGUGAAGGGCGUGCAGCCGGGCUGACAAGUCAGAUGUGAAGUCCCGCGG
Molecule: ribosomal RNA, 258 nt
Filed under: uncultured bacterium
Lineage: Bacteria
Description: partial 16S ribosomal RNA
Rfam family: Bacterial small subunit ribosomal RNA
Source: RNAcentral